This 112-nucleotide ribosomal RNA is filed under the name Pongo abelii (Sumatran orangutan). The record is from RNAcentral. Lineage: Eukaryota; Metazoa; Chordata; Mammalia; Primates; Hominidae.
GUCUACGGCCAUACCACCCUGAACGCGCCCAAUCUUGUCUGAUCUCGGAAGCUAAGCAGAGUCCGUCCUGGUUAGUACGUGGAUGGGAGGCAAAAAUAAGACACCUUACUCU